GACGAACGCUGGCGGCGUGCUUAACACAUGCAAGUCGAAGAUAGUGGCGAACGGGUGAGUAAUACGUGGGUAACCUGCCCUCCUUUUUGGGAUAAGCCUUGGAAACGGGGUCUAAUACCGAAUAAAGGGGGAUGGGCGCGCGGCCUAUCAGCUUGUUGGUGGGGUGAUGGCCUUACAAGGCGGUGACGGGUAGCCGGCCUGGGAGGGUGACCGGGAACAUUGAGACUGUGAUACGGCCCAGGCUCCGACGGGGUGGAGCAGUGGGGGAUAUGGCACAAUGGGCGAAGGCCUGAUGCAGCGACGCCGCGUGGGGGAUGAGGGCUGUAGGGUUGUAAACCUAUGUCGCAAUCGAACGGGUAGGUGAAGAAGAAGCGCCGGCUAACUACGUGCCAGCAGCCGCGGUAAUAC
RNAcentral lists this ribosomal RNA (408 nucleotides) under uncultured bacterium. RNAcentral's name for it is "partial 16S ribosomal RNA". It matches the Rfam family "Bacterial small subunit ribosomal RNA", at positions 28 to 526 of the family's 1533-position model. The record is from RNAcentral.